UAUUAAGUGCUUUAUAACUAAUUCUUGCAAAAUGGAUAUAACAGAACAUGAUGACUGGAGCUUGCAUGAUAUGUGAUUAAUGUCUCUGCAUAAUCAGGACUUGCAAAAUAGAUAUAACUGUCUCCACAAAGAAAGAAACUGAG
Molecule: small nucleolar RNA, 143 nt
Organism: Pongo abelii (Sumatran orangutan)
Lineage: Eukaryota; Metazoa; Chordata; Mammalia; Primates; Hominidae
Gene: U8
Rfam family: U8 small nucleolar RNA
About the family: U8 is a member of the C/D class of snoRNA which contain the C (UGAUGA) and D (CUGA) box motifs. U8 is the RNA component of a small complex (the U8 snoRNP) which is required for accumulation of mature large subunit ribosomal RNAs, 5.8S and 28S rRNAs. U8 RNA has been identified in human, mouse, rat and Xenopus.
Source: Ensembl